CCUACGGGGCGCAGCAGUGAGGAAUAUUGGUCAAUGGUCGGGAGACUGAACCAGCCAAGCCGCGUGAGGGAGGAAGGUACAGAGUAUCGUAAACCUCUUUUAUAAGGGAAUAAAGUGUGGGACGUGUCCUAUUUUGUAUGUACCUUAUGAAUAAGGAUCGGCUAACUCCGUGCCAGCAGCCGCGGUAAUACGGAGGAUCCGAGCGUUAUCCGGAUUUAUUGGGUUUAAAGGGUGCGUAGGCGGCCUUUUAAGUCAGCGGUGAAAGUCUGUGGCUCAACCAUAGAAUUGCCGUUGAAACUGGGGGG
This 305-nucleotide ribosomal RNA is filed under the name uncultured bacterium. RNAcentral's name for it is "bacterial SSU rRNA". It matches the Rfam family "Bacterial small subunit ribosomal RNA", at positions 338 to 640 of the family's 1533-position model. The record is from RNAcentral.